Molecule: ribosomal RNA, 502 nt
Filed under: uncultured bacterium
Lineage: Bacteria
Description: partial 16S ribosomal RNA
Rfam family: Bacterial small subunit ribosomal RNA
Source: RNAcentral
GAUGAACGCUGGCGGCGUGCCUAAUACAUGCAAGUCGAACGAAUCUUCUUCGGAAGAUGAGUGGCGAACGGGUGAGUAAUGCAUAGGUAACCUGCCCCUGUGCGGGGGAUAACAGGAGGAAACUCCUGCUAAUACCGCAUAGCCAUGACCACCGCAUGGAGCUCACGCCAAAUAUCCUUUCGGGGAUAGCGCAGGGAUGGAACUAUGGCGCAUUAGCUGGUUGGCGGGGCAACGGCCCACCAAGGCAACGAUGCGUAGCCGGCCUGAGAGGGCGGACGGCCACAUUGGGACUGAGACACGGCCCAGACUCCUACGGGAGGCAGCAGUAGGGAAUUUUCGGCAAUGGGGGAAACCCUGACCGAGCAACGCCGCGUGAGCGAAGAAGGCCUUCGGGUCGUAAAGCUCUGUUGUAAAGGAAGAACGGCGCAUACAGGAAAUGGUAUGCGAGUGACGGUACUUUACCAGAAAGCCACGGCUAACUACGUGCCAGCAGCCGCAGUAA